RNAcentral lists this long non-coding RNA (208 nucleotides) under Elaeis guineensis (African oil palm). Its description in RNAcentral is "long non-coding RNA (EGUI_LNC074673)". The record is from RNAcentral. Lineage: Eukaryota; Viridiplantae; Streptophyta; Magnoliopsida; Arecales; Arecaceae.
CCGAGCUUCUACAGCAGAUGACUUCCGUCUGUAGCAUCAGCGCCCAAGGCAUCCGAUAAUAGUUGACUCGUCAGCAACCUCAGAAACAUUCGAGCUUCUCUUGGAUUGUUGACACAGAAAGCCAUUCCGCUCCAUCAGACAUCCCAGUCGAGCUUCAGCCAUCAGACCUGAACUCUUUGGCAAGUCACAACAAUGGCCACUACCCCAC